UACGUAGGGGGCUAGCGUUGUCCGGAAUCAUUGGGCGUAAAGCGCGCGUAGGCGGCCUGGUAAGUCCGCUGUGAAAGUCCAGGGCUCAACCCUGGAAAGCCGGUGGAUACUGUCGGGCUCGAGUCCGGAAGAGGCGAGUGGAAUUCCUGGUGUAGCGGUGGAAUGCGCAGAUAUCAGGAGGAACACCGAUGGCGAAGGCAGCUCGCUGGGACGGUACUGACGCUGAGGCGCGAAAGCGUGGGGAGCGAACAGG
Molecule: ribosomal RNA, 253 nt
Filed under: uncultured bacterium
Lineage: Bacteria
Description: partial 16S ribosomal RNA
Rfam family: Bacterial small subunit ribosomal RNA
Source: RNAcentral